UAGUCUGAGGUGUGUCUCGGACGGUCGGUUCGCCGCUUGUCGGUGCUCAACUGGCCGGUCCGGACGUCCUGCCGGUGGGGCUGUAAAAGGCUCCGUUAUCCUUCUUUGGUCCUCUUCAUUGAGUGCCUUGGUGGGCCGGCACGUUUACUUUGAACAAAUUAGAGUGCUCAAAGCAGGCCGUUGGUCGCCUGAAUACUGUGUGCAUGGAAUAAUGGAAUAGGACCUCGGUUCCAUUUUGUUGGUUUUCAGAACUCGAGGUAAUGAUUAAUAGGUACGGACGGGGGCAUUCGUAUUGCGACGUUAGAGGUGAAAUUCUUGGAUCGUCGCAAGACGAACCGAUGCGAAAGCAUUUGCCAAGAACGUUUUCGUUGAUCAAGAACGAAAGUUAGAGGUUCGAAGGCGAUCAGAUACCGCCCUAGUUCUAACCAUAAACGAUGCCAGCUAGCCAUCCGCCGAAGUUCCUUAUAUGACUCGGCGGGCAGCUUCCGGGAAACCAAAGCUCUUGGGUUCCGGGGGAAGUAU
RNAcentral lists this ribosomal RNA (522 nucleotides) under Austrogynacantha heterogena. Its description in RNAcentral is "SSU rRNA". It matches the Rfam family "Eukaryotic small subunit ribosomal RNA", at positions 631 to 1126 of the family's 1831-position model. The record is from RNAcentral. Lineage: Eukaryota; Metazoa; Arthropoda; Insecta; Odonata; Aeshnidae.